RNAcentral lists this ribosomal RNA (443 nucleotides) under uncultured bacterium. RNAcentral describes it as "partial 16S ribosomal RNA". It matches the Rfam family "Bacterial small subunit ribosomal RNA", at positions 338 to 795 of the family's 1533-position model. The record is from RNAcentral.
CCUACGGGAGGCAGCAGUGGGGAAUAUUGGGCAAUGGAGGCAACUCUGACCCAGCAACGCCGCGUGAAGGAAGAAGGCCUUAGGGUUGUAAACUUAUGUUGUAAAGGAAGAAAAGAAUGACGGUACUUUACAAGAAAGCCCCGGCUAACUAUGUGCCAGCAGCCGCGGUAAGACAUAGGGGGCAAGCGUUGUUCGGAAUUACUGGGCGUAAAGGGAGCGUAGGCGGGAGAUUAAGUUAAGAGUGAAAGCCUUGGGCUCAACCCAAGAAAUGCUCUUAAUACUGGUUUUCUAGAGAGUAGAUGCGGUAGGCGGAAUGUAUGGUGUAGCGGUGAAAUGCUUAGAGAUCAUACAGAACACCGAUUGCGAAGGCAGCUUACCAAUCUAUAUCUGACGUUGAGGCACGAAAGCGUGGGGAGCAAACAGGAUUAGAUACCCUAGUAGUC